GGGUUAGUAACGCGUGGGAAUAUACCCUUCACUACGGAAUAGCCAUUGGAAACGAUGAGUAAUACCGUAUACGCCCUUCGGGGGAAAGAUUUAUCGGUGAUGGAUUAGCCCGCGUCUGAUUAGAUAGUUGGUGGGGUAAUGGCCUACCAAGUCUACGAUCAGUAGCUGGUUUGAGAGGAUGAUCAGCAACACUGGGACUGAGACACGGCCCAGACUCCUACGGGAGGCAGCAGUGGGGAAUCUUAGACAAUGGGCGCAAGCCUGAUCUAGCCAUGCCGCGUGAGUGACGAAGGCCUUAGGGUCGUAAAGCUCUUUCGCCAGGGAUGAUAAUGACAGUACCUGGUAAAGAAACCCCGGCUAACUCCGUGCCAGCAGCCGCGGUAAUACGGAGGGGGUUAGCGUUGUUCGGAAUUACUGGGCGUAAAGCGUACGUAGGCGGAUUAGAAAGUUGGGGGUGAAAUCCCAGGGCUCAACCCUGGA
This 480-nucleotide ribosomal RNA is filed under the name uncultured prokaryote. RNAcentral describes it as "bacterial SSU rRNA". It matches the Rfam family "Bacterial small subunit ribosomal RNA", at positions 104 to 619 of the family's 1533-position model. The record is from RNAcentral.